UACGAACUGUGCAAACGUUAUUCGGAAUCACUGGGCUUAAAGGGUGCGUAGGCGGCCAAAUAAGUAGGGUGUGAAAGCCUCCGGCUUAACCGGAGAAUGGCGCUCUAAACUGUUUGGCUGGAGUGAGAUAGGGGUGUGUGGAACUUCCGGUGGAGCGGUGAAAUGUGUUGAUAUCGGAAGGAACGCCGGUGGCGAAAGCGACACACUGGAUCUCAACUGACGCUGAGGCACGAAAGCCAGGGGAGCAAACGGG
RNAcentral lists this ribosomal RNA (253 nucleotides) under uncultured Planctomyces sp. RNAcentral's name for it is "partial 16S ribosomal RNA". It matches the Rfam family "Bacterial small subunit ribosomal RNA", at positions 524 to 776 of the family's 1533-position model. The record is from RNAcentral. Lineage: Bacteria; Pseudomonadati; Planctomycetota; Planctomycetia; Planctomycetales; Planctomycetaceae.